Molecule: long non-coding RNA, 490 nt
Filed under: Zea mays
Lineage: Eukaryota; Viridiplantae; Streptophyta; Magnoliopsida; Poales; Poaceae
Description: long non-coding RNA (ZMAY_LNC004019)
Source: RNAcentral
AGGAAACAAGACCAUCAGCAUCAGAAUAGUUUAAUUCCAAGUCCUUUUUGUUCCCUUCUAUUGUGGGGUUUACCACCCUUUCAUCAGCAAACAAACUGCACUUACUUUUGCCAUCAGGUUUGCAAGUUCUUCCCACAUUAUCUUCUUCCCUUGCCAGUUCCGUACUAAAUGAUGCAGAAGUUGCAGCCGAAACUUCUUGUGUAGGUUUUAGCAUAUCUGGCAAAUGUAUGUACUCAUCUAAAAAUUUGUUCAGUCUGCGACUCAUGUCGAAAGCUAAUUCUCCUGGUGAAUUCUCCAUACCUUCUUGCAUCACACGCCCAGUCUGCACUUCUGACUCUGAGUAGAAAGAACUUUGAGCAUGGCCAGGUUUCUCAUAGUUGUGAUGGUGUAUGUUGGCCAUUGACGAAUGGCCGCCCUGCAAUCCUUGUUCUUUGGAUUCAAAUUGCAGACUUCGUCGAACUGAUGAUGUUCUGCUUCUAGCUGCAACUCC